Mastomys coucha (southern multimammate mouse) is the source of this 440-nucleotide long non-coding RNA. RefSeq lists it as uncharacterized. The transcript has 3 exons. NCBI's taxonomy places the organism in Eukaryota, Metazoa, Chordata, Mammalia, Rodentia, Muridae. The record is from RefSeq and is a predicted model, not a curated record.
GAUUUGCCGGUUUCAGGUUUUCACUUGGAUGCUGGAGCAGGUGCCUCAGUGCAGGCAAAUGCCUGUGAUGAUGCCGUCGCUGCCACGGGGACAUGGAACAAGCAAAGGCAGGCUCACUUCAAAUCUGUAAGACAAAAAUUCACUGUCAACAUACUAACUCGACCUUAAAGGAAUCCAGACAGCGUCAAUCUUGGAGCAGCUGUGGUAUUAUUCUCUGAUGCCCAGCACAUGCCAGACACUGUUAGGUUCAUCAAAUUCGGAAGCAGCCAAUAUUUUACUCCUAGGAACUUAAGAUAAAGAGAAACAAGGGUGCUCUCUGCUAUAGAUCUCAAGGUUCAACUAACUUACCUUCAUGGAGCAUCGCUCUACAAAGAAGAGUGACAAAUUGAUUUGGGGAUAUGUGGAGAGUGUGUUACUUAAAGGCUGUUGGCAAUGAGCCA